This 492-nucleotide ribosomal RNA is filed under the name uncultured bacterium. RNAcentral's name for it is "bacterial SSU rRNA". It matches the Rfam family "Bacterial small subunit ribosomal RNA", at positions 28 to 507 of the family's 1533-position model. The record is from RNAcentral.
GAUGAACGCUAGCGGCAGGCCUAACACAUGCAAGUCGAGGGGUAACAUAGAAAAGCUUGCUUUUCUGAUGACGACCGGCGCACGGGUGCGUAACGCGUAUACAACCUACCUUUUAGCGGGGAAUAGCCCAGGGAAACUUGGAUUAAUGCCCCAUAGUAUAUGGACUUCUCCUGAAGUUUAUAUUAAACAUUUAUGGCUAUUAGAUGGGUAUGCGUCCUAUUAGUUAGUUGGUAAGGUAACGGCUUACCAAGGCAGCGAUAGGUACGGGGUCCUGAGAGGGAGACUCCCCACACUGGUACUGAGACACGGACCAGACUCCUACGGGAGGCAGCAGUGAGGAAUAUUGGACAAUGGGCGAGAGCCUGAUCCAGCCAUGCCGCGUGCAGGAAGACUCGCCCUAGUGGGUUGUAAGCUGUCUUUUACAGAGGAAGAACCCACCCCACGUGUGGGGGUUUGACGGUACUCUGCGAAUAAGGAUCGGCUAACUCCGUG